GCGCUUGCUUCAGCGGCACCUACGGCAAAAUUAGAUAACAGAGAAGGUUAGCCCAGAAGAUGGCCCCUGGGCGAGGAUGACAUGCAAAUUUGUAAAGCAUCCCAUAAAAAA
This 111-nucleotide small nuclear RNA is filed under the name Neogale vison (American mink). Lineage: Eukaryota; Metazoa; Chordata; Mammalia; Carnivora; Mustelidae. The record is from RNAcentral.